This 253-nucleotide ribosomal RNA is filed under the name uncultured bacterium. Its description in RNAcentral is "partial 16S ribosomal RNA". It matches the Rfam family "Bacterial small subunit ribosomal RNA", at positions 524 to 776 of the family's 1533-position model. The record is from RNAcentral.
UACAGAGGAGCCAAGCGUUGUCCGGAUUGACUGGGCGUAAAGCGCACGCAGGCGGAUGCGCGCGUGGGGUGUGAAAUCUGGCCGCUUAACGGCCAGGCGCCAUCCCAUACGGCGCGUCUGGAGUGAUGCAGAGGUCGAUGGAAUUGCCGGUGUAGUGGUGAAAUGCGUAGAGAUCGGCAGGAACACCCAGGGGGAAACCAGUCGACUGGGCAUCUACUGACGCUGAGGAGCGAAAGCAUGGGGAGCGAACAGG